UUUAAAAAUAUUUAUUUAUUUAUUUAGAGAUGGAAUCUCUGUCGCCCAGGCUGAAAUGCAGUGGUAUAAUCAUAGCUCACUGCUCUCUUGGAUUCCUGGGCUCAGGAGAUCCUCCUGCCUCAGCCUUCUGAAUAGCUGGGAAUAUAGGUAUCUACCACCAUGCCCAGCUAAUUUUUUAGUUUUUUUGUAGGGAUGGAAUCUCACUGUCUUGCCCAGGCUGGUCUUGAACUCUUGGGCUCAGAGGAUUCUCCUGCCUUGGCCUCCUAACAUGUUGGGAUUACAGGUGUGAGCCACCAAGCCCAGACUCUUUAUUUUACUUUAUUAUUAUUAUGUUUUGAGAUGGAGUCUGGCUCUGCCACCCAGGCUGGAGUGCAGUGGCAUAAUCUUGGCUUACUGCAGCUUCAGCCUCCCAGGUUCAAGUGAUUGUUGUGCCUUAGCCUCCUGAGUAGCUGGGAUUACAGGCAUAUGCCACUAUGCCUGGUUAAUUUUCAUACUUUUAUUAGAGAUGGGAUUUCAUCAUGUUGCCCAAGCUGGUCUUGAACGCUUGACUUCAGGUGAUCUACCUGCCUCAGCUGCCCAAAGUACUGGGAUUACAGGCAUGAGCCACUGAGUCCGGCCUUUUGUGUUUUUUUUUUUUUGAAUUGGGGGUCUUAUUCUAUUGCCCAGGCUGGAAUGCAAUAGUGAGAUCACGGCUCACUACAGCCUUGACCUCCUGGGCUCAAGUGAUCCUCCCACCUUAUCAUCCUGAGUAGCUGUGACUAUAGGCAGCUACCACCAUGCCAAGCUAAUUAACACUUUUUUUUUUUUUGUAGAGAUGGGAUCUCCCUGUGUUGCCCAGGGUGGUCUCAAACUCCUGGGCUCAGGUGAUCCUCCCACCUUGGCCUCCCAAAGUGCUGGAAAUUACACAGAGUUUCACUCUUGUUGCCCAGGCUGGAGUGCAAUGGCACAAUCUCAGCUCACUGCAGCCUCCACCUCCCAGGUUCAAGCAAUUCUCCUGCCUCAACCUCCUAAGUAGCUGGGAUUACAGGUACACCAUUCCCAGCUAAUUUUUUGUAUUUUUAGUAGAGACGGGGUUUAUACCAUGUUGGCCAGGCUGGUCUUGAACUCCUGACCUCAGGUGGUCCACCUGCCUUGGCCUCCCAAAGUGCUGGCACGAGUCACGGCAGUUGGGCUGAUUUCUAAUUCUAAAAGCCAUUUGUAGGUAAAUGAUUAAAGCUUUUUAAAAUCGGUUUUGUGUUUUUUUUUUUAAACAGAAGAAAAUGAAGCUUAUUAAAGUUGAAUGAGUCAUCCAAGGCCAUAUAGCUGGUUGGCAGCUGAACUGGGGUUUGAACCCAAGUUUUUCUUCCACACCAUGCAGCAUUUACUAUAUAGAAAAAUAGCUGAAUAAAUUUCUCUUGUUAUUUUAGCCAAAUUUCAUUUGUAAAAUCCCAGAAGUGGCCUACUAUUCUGAUAUGGCAAUAUGUAUCUUUCAUGAUCUGAAUAAACAACAGAGAAAAUCCACUGUAUUCUUAUGAGUUUGGAAAACAAAGUGUUAUCACAGAUAACACUAAGCUAUUCCUGUCCUCAGUUCCCGUGAUUUUGAACCUGUUAUUCAGAACAAGAAGCCCUGUGCUUCAAAUACAAGCCAGAACAUUCUAUUUAGUGCAAACACAAGAUCCAAAACUCCAUUUUAAAAAUGGAGUUUCUGUACAGUAAGAAAUGGAGUUUUCUGUACUGUAAGAAUCCAGCCUGCAUUUGUCAGUGGCAGAGAGACUAGUGAAGAGAGAGGUCCCUGAAGAGGUCA
RNAcentral lists this long non-coding RNA (1783 nucleotides) under Callithrix jacchus (white-tufted-ear marmoset). RNAcentral's name for it is "lncRNA (ENSCJAG00000084565.1)". Lineage: Eukaryota; Metazoa; Chordata; Mammalia; Primates; Cebidae. The record is from RNAcentral.